RNAcentral lists this long non-coding RNA (726 nucleotides) under Aotus nancymaae (Ma's night monkey). Its description in RNAcentral is "lncRNA (ENSANAG00000039323.1)". The record is from RNAcentral. Lineage: Eukaryota; Metazoa; Chordata; Mammalia; Primates; Aotidae.
GACUCCGCGCCCCCUGCGCGUCUAGAGCGGGUACCCCCAUGCGGAGGGGAUCCUGGCUGUUCCCAAGUCUCGCGUGCCUGUCGGGAGCCAGCGCGGGCUGGGCAGCAGAUCUCAACCUGUGACUGUGACGCGGCCCCUGCCCGAGAUGCUGGCGUCUUGUGCGAAAGUUUGAUUUUUCACACAUCUGCAAGGGGCUGGGAGCUUUUCACAUCGUGCUGUGCGUUGCAGUAGUUAGUUUUUCAGAUUAGGUAAUUCAUACUGUCCAUUUCUGAAACUGAAGUAUGCACAGCUUCAAUUCUGUGCAGGGAGGAUACAGCAGGAGAGAAUAUCCUGGGCACAUCUUUCUGGAGAAUCACUUUUACUACAAAAUUUGUAAAAAACAAAUUUAUUUCCAAGGGUGGCCAACUUGAAUGUCUUCACCUGCCAGAGUCAAGGAAAAGGUCAGUAAGACUAUGCUCCCUUUACACAGUUACGUCCCAGUUACUCCCCAGUUACACUGACCUGGUACCUGGAUAACUGGUGAGUAAGCUGGUCCAGUGUUCCCACCACCUCCAGUAAGCUCUGAUUCUAGAUUCAUUCCCUGCUCCAACACAUACUGUGUGUGCAGCCUUGGGCCUGCAGCCAGGCCUCCCUGAAACUGUUUUCUCAACUUGAAGUGUGAUGGGAACCACACUUGCCUCACUGGGCCUCGUGAGGUCUCAGUUAUAUGUGGCUGUUACCAUUGUU